Delphinella strobiligena is the source of this 92-nucleotide non-coding RNA. Lineage: Eukaryota; Fungi; Ascomycota; Dothideomycetes; Dothideales; Dothioraceae. The record is from the annotation of a GenBank genome assembly.
UCCCAUGUGGUCUAGCGGCUAGGAUUUGUCGCUUUCAAACAUGCCAUGUGUUGAGAACCGACAAGGCCGGGGUUCGAUUCCCCGCAUGGGAA